AUUGAACGCUGGCGGCAGGCCUAACACAUGCAAGUCGAGCGAGAAAGGUCUUCGGACUGAGUACAGCGGCGGACGGGUGAGUAAUGCGCAGGGAUCUACCUGGUAGUGGGGGAUAACUCGGGGAAACUCGAACUAAUACCGCAUACGCCCUACGGGGGAAAGCGGGGGACCGUUCGGGCCUCGCGCUAUCAGAUGAGCCUGCGUAGGAUUAGCUUGUUGGUGAGGUAAAGGCUCACCAAGGCGACGAUCCUUAGCUGGUCUGAGAGGAUGAUCAGCCACACUGGAACUGAGACACGGUCCAGACUCCUACGGGAGGCAGCAGUGGGGAAUAUUGCGCAAUGGGCGAAAGCCUGACGCAGCCAUGCCGCGUGUGUGAAGAAGGCCCUUGGGUUGUAAAGCACUUUAAGCAGGAAAGAAGGCCCCAGGGUUAAUAACCUUGGGGAUUGACGUUACCUGCAGAAUAAGCACCGGCUAACUCCGUGCCAGCAGCCGCGGUAAUGU
RNAcentral lists this ribosomal RNA (501 nucleotides) under uncultured bacterium. RNAcentral describes it as "bacterial SSU rRNA". It matches the Rfam family "Bacterial small subunit ribosomal RNA", at positions 30 to 526 of the family's 1533-position model. The record is from RNAcentral.